RNAcentral lists this ribosomal RNA (400 nucleotides) under uncultured bacterium. RNAcentral describes it as "bacterial SSU rRNA". It matches the Rfam family "Bacterial small subunit ribosomal RNA", at positions 355 to 751 of the family's 1533-position model. The record is from RNAcentral.
UGAGGAAUAUUGGGCAAUGGACGCAAGUCUGACCCAGCCAUGCCGCGUGCAGGAUGACUGCCCUAUGGGUUGUAAACUGCUUUUGUAUUCCAAGAAUACUCGAUACGUGUAUUGAGAUGACGGUAGAAUAUGAAUAAGCAUCGGCUAACUCCGUGCCAGCAGCCGCGGUAAUACGGAGGAUGCAAGCGUUAUCCGGAUUUAUUGGGUUUAAAGGGUGCGUAGGCGGGGAAUUAAGUCAGUGGUGAAAGUCUGGCGGCUUAACCGUAGAAUUGCCAUUGAUACUGAUUUUCUUGAGUAUAGUUGAAGUAGGCGGAAUGUGUAAUGUAGCGGUGAAAUGCUUAGAUAUUACACAGAACACCGAUUGCGUAGGCAGCUUACUAAGCUAUUACUGACGCUGAGG